Molecule: ribosomal RNA, 253 nt
Filed under: uncultured bacterium
Lineage: Bacteria
Description: partial 16S ribosomal RNA
Rfam family: Bacterial small subunit ribosomal RNA
Source: RNAcentral
GACGGAGGAUGCAAGCGUUAUCCGGAAUGAUUGGGCGUAAAGCGUCCGCAGGUGGCAGUUCAAGUCUGCUGUCAAAGACCGGGGCUUAACUUCGGAAAGGCAGUGGAAACUGAACAGCUAGAGUAUGGUAGGGGCAGAGGGAAUUCCUGGUGUAGCGGUGAAAUGCGUAGAUAUCAGGAAGAACACCGGUGGCGAAAGCGCUCUGCUAGGCCGCAACUGACACUGAGGGACGAAAGCUAGGGGAGCGAAUGGG